UUAUACUCCAAUGAAGAUGUCCAAAAAAAAAAAAAAAAAGAUUAGCAUGGCCCCUGCAAGGAUGAUACGCAAAUUCGUGAAGCGUUCCAUAUUUUU
RNAcentral lists this small nuclear RNA (96 nucleotides) under Tursiops truncatus (common bottlenose dolphin). Lineage: Eukaryota; Metazoa; Chordata; Mammalia; Artiodactyla; Delphinidae. The record is from RNAcentral.